GUGUAGCUCAUAUUUUUUAAUUUUUAGUUUGGUUAAGUUAGAAAGGGCGCACGGUGGAUGCCUUGACACUAGGAGUCGAUGAAGGACGGGACUAACGCCGAUAUGCUUCGGGGAGCUGUAAGUAAGCUUUGAUCCGAAGAUUUCCGAAUGGGGAAACCCACCAUACGUAAUGGUAUGGUAUCCUUAUCUGAAUACAUAGGGUAAGGAAGACAGACCCAGGGAACUGAAACAUCUAAGUACCUGGAGGAAGAGAAAGCAAAUGCGAUUUCCUGAGUAGCGGCGAGCGAAACGGAACAUAGCCCAAACCAAGAGGCUUGCCUCUUGGGGUUGUAGGACAUUCUAUACGGAGUUACAAAGGAACGAGGUAGACGAAGCGACCUGGAAAGGUCCGUCGUAGAGGGUAACAACCCCGUAGUCGAAACUUCGUUCUCUCUUGAAUGUAUCCUGAGUACGGCGGAACACGUGAAAUUCCGUCGGAAUCUGGGAGGACCAUCUCCCAAGGCUAAAUACUCCCUAGUGAUCGAUAGUGAACCAGUACCGUGAGGGAAAGGUGAAAAGCACCCCGGAAGGGGAGUGAAAGAGAUCCUGAAACCGUGUGCCUACAAAUAGUCAGAGCCCGUUAACGGGUGAUGGCGUGCCUUUUGUAGAAUGAACCGGCGAGUUACGAUCCCGUGCGAGGUUAAGCUGAAGAGGCGGAGCCGCAGCGAAAGCGAGUCUGAAUAGGGCGUUUAGUACGUGGUCGUAGACCCGAAACCAGGUGAUCUACCCAUGUCCAGGGUGAAGUUCAGGUAACACUGAAUGGAGGCCCGAACCCACGCACGUUGAAAAGUGCGGGGAUGAGGUGUGGGUAGCGGAGAAAUUCCAAUCGAACCUGGAGAUAGCUGGUUCUCCCCGAAAUAGCUUUAGGGCUAGCCUUAAGUGUAAGAGUCUUGGAGGUAGAGCACUGAUUGGACUAGGGGUCCUCAUCGGAUUACCGAAUUCAGUCAAACUCCGAAUGCCAAUGACUUAUCCUUAGGAGUCAGACUGCGAGUGAUAAGAUCCGUAGUCAAAAGGGAAACAGCCCAGACCGCCAGCUAAGGUCCCAAAGUGUGUAUUAAGUGGAAAAGGAUGUGGAGUUGCUUAGACAACUAGGAUGUUGGCUUAGAAGCAGCCACCAUUUAAAGAGUGCGUAAUAGCUCACUAGUCGAGUGACUCUGCGCCGAAAAUGUACCGGGGCUAAAUACACCACCGAAGCUGCGGAUUGAUACCAAUGGUAUCAGUGGUAGGGGAGCGUUCUAAGGACAGUGAAGUCAGACCGUAAGGACUGGUGGAGUGCUUAGAAGUGAGAAUGCCGGUAUGAGUAGCGAAAGACGGGUGAGAAUCCCGUCCACCGAAUGCCUAAGGUUUCCUGAGGAAGGCUCGUCCGCUCAGGGUUAGUCAGGACCUAAGCCGAGGCCGACAGGCGUAGGCGAUGGACAACAGGUUGAUAUUCCUGUACCACCUCUUUAUCGUUUGAGCAAUGGAGGGACGCAGAAGGAUAGAAGAAGCGUGCGAUUGGUUGUGCACGUCCAAGCAGUUAGGCUGAUAAGUAGGCAAAUCCGCUUAUCGUAAAGGCUGAGCUGUGAUGGGGAAGCUCCUUAUGGAGCGAAGUCUUUGAUUCCCCGCUGCCAAGAAAAGCUUCUAGCGAGAUAAAAGGUGCCUGUACCGCAAACCGACACAGGUAGGCGAGGAGAGAAUCCUAAGGUGUGCGAGAGAACUCUGGUUAAGGAACUCGGCAAAAUGACCCCGUAACUUCGGGAGAAGGGGUGCUUUCUUAACGGAAAGCCGCAGUGAAUAGGCCCAAGCGACUGUUUAGCAAAAACACAGCUCUCUGCGAAGCCGUAAGGCGAAGUAUAGGGGGUGACACCUGCCCGGUGCUGGAAGGUUAAGGAGAGGGGUUAGCGUAAGCGAAGCUCUGAACUGAAGCCCCAGUAAACGGCGGCCGUAACUAUAACGGUCCUAAGGUAGCGAAAUUCCUUGUCGGGUAAGUUCCGACCCGCACGAAAGGUGUAACGAUUUGGGCACUGUCUCAACCAGAGACUCGGUGAAAUUAUAGUACCUGUGAAGAUGCAGGUUACCCGCGACAGGACGGAAAGACCCCGUGGAGCUUUACUGUAGCCUGAUAUUGAAUUUUGGUACAGUUUGUACAGGAUAGGCGGGAGCCAUUGAAACCGGAGCGCUAGCUUCGGUGGAGGCGCUGGUGGGAUACCGCCCUGACUGUAUUGAAAUUCUAACCUACGGGUCUUAUCGACCCGGGAGACAGUGUCAGGUGGGCAGUUUGACUGGGGCGGUCGCCUCCUAAAGUGUAACGGAGGCGCCCAAAGGUUCCCUCAGAAUGGUUGGAAAUCAUUCGUAGAGUGCAAAGGCAUAAGGGAGCUUGACUGCGAGACCUACAAGUCGAGCAGGGACGAAAGUCGGGCUUAGUGAUCCGGUGGUUCCGCAUGGAAGGGCCAUCGCUCAACGGAUAAAAGCUACCCCGGGGAUAACAGGCUUAUCUCCCCCAAGAGUCCACAUCGACGGGGAGGUUUGGCACCUCGAUGUCGGCUCAUCGCAUCCUGGGGCUGUAGUCGGUCCCAAGGGUUGGGCUGUUCGCCCAUUAAAGCGGUACGCGAGCUGGGUUCAGAACGUCGUGAGACAGUUCGGUCCCUAUCCGUCGUGGGCGUAGGAAAUUUGAGAGGAGCUGUCCUUAGUACGAGAGGACCGGGAUGGACGCACCGCUGGUGUACCAGUUGUUCUGCCAAGGGCAUAGCUGGGUAGCUAUGUGCGGAAGGGAUAAGUGCUGAAAGCAUCUAAGCAUGAAGCCCCCCUCAAGAUGAGAUUUCCCAUAGCGUAAGCUAGUAAGAUCCCUGAAAGAUGAUCAGGUUGAUAGGUUCGAGGUGGAAGCAUGGUGACAUGUGGAGCUGACGAAUACUAAUAGAUCGAGGACUUAACCAU
RNAcentral lists this ribosomal RNA (2952 nucleotides) under Bacillus cereus. Its description in RNAcentral is "23S ribosomal RNA". It matches the Rfam family "Bacterial large subunit ribosomal RNA". The record is from RNAcentral. Lineage: Bacteria; Bacillati; Bacillota; Bacilli; Caryophanales; Bacillaceae.